Molecule: ribosomal RNA, 377 nt
Filed under: Parauronema sp.
Lineage: Eukaryota; Ciliophora; Oligohymenophorea; Philasterida; Philasteridae
Description: partial small subunit ribosomal RNA
Rfam family: Eukaryotic small subunit ribosomal RNA
Source: RNAcentral
AUUCCAGCUCCAAUAGCGUAUAUUAAAGUUGUUGCAGUUAAAAAGCUCGUAGUUGAAUUUCUGUACAGUCCCGGUUCUGGCUUCGGUCAAGCCGUGGAUUGUGCAUCCGCUUGCAAAUCUAGCUCGGCCUUCACUGGUCGACUAGGGGAGUAAGCCCUUUACUUUGAAAAAAUUAGAGUGUUUCAGGCAGGCAAUGGCUCGAAUACAUUAGCAUGGAAUAAUGGAAUAGGACUUUUGUCCAUUUGGUUGGUUAUUGGACAUGAGUAAUGAUUAAAAGGGACAGUUGGGGGCAUUAGUAUUUAAUAGUCAGAGGUGAAAUUCUUGGAUUUAUUAAAGACUAACUUAUGCGUAAGCAUUUACCAAGGAUGUUUUCAUCG